Non-coding RNA from Drosophila virilis, 367 nucleotides. NCBI's taxonomy places the organism in Eukaryota, Metazoa, Arthropoda, Insecta, Diptera, Drosophilidae. The record is from RefSeq and is a predicted model, not a curated record.
UGCUUCUUUCUGCCUGUUACAUACAUUUGGAUUUUGAAUAUAUCCUUCCAGUUAGAAGUGCAUUAAAUGAAAAUCACUUUCGUGAUAAUUGCAAAUUUUCCGGGCUUCACAGUGUAGGAUAAUCCUAUUUGAACUAACUGAUGCAUAUCUUUAGGACUACGAGUAGAGCGGAUGUGUCGGUCUGCCCGCAUUUCUAACAAUAUUUCAAAACAAGCUUUUGCCAUUUGGUCGUACAAUGAGAAUAGUCAAUUAUUAAAUUAAUGAUCAGUCAAAAACAGGAGUCAGCAACGACCCAAUUAGAGCCUAAGAUACAAUACCCAAAUUAAUAAAUAAAUUUAGUUUUUUACGAAUUUGCCAAGCCUGCGAA